GGCCCAAUGGUCUAGUCGUAUGAUUCGCGCUUCGGGUUUUCUGACGAAUUUGUGCAAUAAGUCCAAAUUUGCCAAGUCACGUGCGCGAGGUCCCGAGUUCAAUUCUCGGUUGAGCCC
Molecule: non-coding RNA, 117 nt
Organism: Rhodofomes roseus
Lineage: Eukaryota; Fungi; Basidiomycota; Agaricomycetes; Polyporales; Fomitopsidaceae
Source: the annotation of a RefSeq genome assembly